This 549-nucleotide ribosomal RNA is filed under the name uncultured archaeon. Its description in RNAcentral is "bacterial SSU rRNA". It matches the Rfam family "Archaeal small subunit ribosomal RNA", at positions 326 to 879 of the family's 1478-position model. The record is from RNAcentral.
CGGGGUGCAGCAGGCGCGAAAACUUUACAAUGCGGGAAACCGUGAUAAGGGAACUCCGAGUGCCCGUAAAAUCGGGCUGUCCAUCUGUUUAAAUAACAGGUGAAGAAAGGGCCGGGCAAGACCGGUGCCAGCCGCCGCGGUAAUACCGGCGGCCCGAGUGGUGGCCACUAUUACUGGGCUUAAAGCGUUCGUAGCUGGUCUGUUAAGUCUCUGGGGAAAUCUACUGGCUUAACCAAUAGGCGUUUCAGGGAUACUGGCAGACUAGGGACCGGGAGAGGUGAGGGGUACUCCAGGGGUAGGAGUGAAAUCCUGUAAUCCUUGGGGGACCACCUGUGGCGAAGGCGCCUCACCAGAACGGCUCCGACAGUGAGGGACGAAAGCUGGGGGAGCAAACCGGAUUAGAUACCCGGGUAGUCCCAGCCGUAAACGAUGCGCGUUAGGUGUAUCGGUGACCACGAGUCACCGAGGUGCCGAAGAGAAAUCGUGAAACGUGCCGCCUGGGAAGUACGGUCGCAAGGCUGAAACUUAAAGGAAUUGGCGGGGGAGCAC